UUACCCGUUGAAUUGAUGAAUUUAUUCCCCAUUUGAAUCAGAAGGACUAGAAAUGUAUCAGACAGGCGACGGCUGCAGCGCCUCACCUCAGACAGAAACAACCAAACCCAGAGAUGAAUGGAGAAUCCUUUCACACCAGCUGAUGCCUUGUGGGAAACAGACUGUGACCCGACUGGACCUUCCACCCCGGCAUCCAAAAAUGGUGCUCUACUUUUUGACCGGCGCUAGAAAGAUACAUCUAGAAUGUCAGAGAGGCUGUGAGAAGGGAGAUAUAUUCCCAUAGAAAGACGAUUACUGAAGCAGACAUUCCCUUUUCAACUCAAUGACACAGUUAUGGGUGAACCCGGCGGCCAUGUUGAGUGAGUGUGAGUCCAUUUACACAGUUAUGGGUGAACCCGGCGGCCAUGUUGAGUGAGUGUGAGUCCAUUUACACAGUUAUGGGUGAACCCGGCGGCCAUGUUGAGUGAGUGUAAUUCCACGAGGGGGGGAGAAGGGAAUCGGAGUCCAUUUACACAGUUAUGGGUGAACCCGGCGGCCAUGUUGAGUGAGUGUGAGUCCAUUUACACAGUUAUGGGUGAACCCGGCGGCCAUGUUGAGUGAGUGUAAUUCCACGAGGGGGGAGAAGGGAAUCGGAGUCCAUUUACACAGUUAUGGGUGAACCCGGCGGCCAUGUUGAGUGAGUGUGAGUCCAUUUACACAGUUAUGGGUGAACCCGGCGGCCAUGUUGAGUGAGUGUAAUUCCACGAGGGGGGGGAAGGGAAUCGGAGUCCAUUUACACAGUUAUGGGUGAACCCGGCGGCCAUGUUGAGUGAGUAUAAUUCCACGAGGGGGAGAAGGCGGCCAUGUUGAGUGAGUGUGAGUCCAUUUACACAGUUAUGGGUGAACCCGGCGGCCAUGUUGAGUGAGUGUAAUUCCACGAGGGGGAGAAGGGAGUUGGAGUCCAUUUACUCAGACAGUUAUGGGUGAACCCGGCGGCCAUGUUGAGUGAGUGUAAUUCCACGAGGGGGAGAAGGGAAUCGGAGUCCAUUUACUCAAGACAGGUAAAAUAAUUCAUCUCACUCAAGCACAACAUAUUUUCCAUUUAUCUUUUACAAUAAAUACAGUCUUACAAAGCAAAAAGGUUGUGAACACACAUUCAGUAGAAACACAGACAGGACCCCUAGGUUUAACCAAAUCCCCUAUGAGGGACCCUAUUCCCUACGUAGAGCACUAGAUAGGGAAUAGGGAGCCAUUUCAAAAAUGAACCCUGAUCAACACACCCCUUUUCAAAAACAAAUGUUUGUUCCUCAGAGAGCUGGACAGAGCAGGUAGAAAAACACACCCUCUUCAUAACUAGGUCUACCACACUUUAAAAUGUCUUCUCUCGUCCACAACCAGAAGAACCACAUCAUAACAGGAUCGCUAACCGUUCAAAAAAAAAAAUCAGCCUGCUUCCCCUCUCAUCUUUAAUGAAAACUAUAGCAGCAGUAGUAUUCAAUCUAGACGGAAUGUUACUGAAUCCCACAGGAAGGUGAAUAUGGGGGUCACGACCUGUUAGGAGCAAGAGACAGUGGAGCCCGUUGAACUUUCACAGUAAUAAAAAAUAAAAUCACAAAUGAACCAUGUUUUAUAACUAAAAAUGUGUUGCUACACAACGCAUGCAAAAAUAAAACAUUUCAUUUCAACGGUCACGUGUCUAGUCCAGGUGUGUCGGUGUGUCUAGUCCAGGUGUGUCUCUGUUGGUGUGUCUAGUCCAGGUGUGUCUCUGUUACAGCAUGUCUAGUCCAGGUGUGUCUAGUCCAGGUAUGUCUAGUCCAGGUGUGUCUCUGUUACAGCAUGUCUAGUCCAGGUGUGUCUAGUCCAGGUGUGUCUAGUCCAGGUGUGUCUAGUCCAGGUGUGUGAAGAUAAAAUUCGUUGUAGACGACCCCUCUGGCAUCACAUGACAAAAUGGCCUCCUAUUCCCUUUCUAGUUCACUAGUUCAGACCAUCUAGCUGGUCAAGGUAGUGCACUAGGUAGGGAAUAGGGGCCUGGUCUAAAGUAGUGCACUAGAUAGGGGGCGGAGGGGCACGGGACUGGACCUGGGGCGGAGGGGCACGGGACUGGACCUGGGGCGGAGGGGCACGGGACUGGACCUGGGGCGGAGGAGCUAGGGGUACAGGACUGGACGUGGGGUGGAGGGGCACGGCACAGGACUUGCCCUGGGGCGGAUGGGCACGGCACAGGACUUGCCCUGGGGCGGAGGGGCACGGCACAGGACUGGGCCUGGGGCGGAGGGGCACAGGACUGGACCUGGGGCGGAGGGGCACAGGACUGGACCUGGGGCGGAGGGGCACAGGACUGGACCUGGGCGGAGGGGCACAGGACUGGACCUGGGGCGGAGGGGCACAGGACUGGACCUGGGGCGGAGGGGCACAGGACUGGACCUGGGGCGGAGGGGCACAGGACUGGACCUGGGGCGGAGGGGCACAGGACUGGACCUGGGGCGGAGGGGCACAGGACUGGACCUGGGGCGGAGGGGCACAGGACUGGACCUGGGGCGGAGGGGCACAGGACGGACCUGGGGCGGAGGGGCACAGGACUGGACCUGGGGCGGAGGGGUACAAGACUGGACCUUGGGCGGAGGGGCUAGGGGUACAAGACUGGACCUUGGGCGGAGGGGCUAGGGGUACAAGACUGGACCUUGGGCGGAGGGGCACAAGACUGGACCUUGGGCGGAGGGGCUAGGGGUAUAAGACUGGACCUGGGGUGGAGGGGCUAGGGGUAUAAGACUGGACCUGGGGUGGAGGGGCACAGGACUGGACCUGGGGUGGAGGGGCACAGGACUGGACCUGGGGCGGAGGGGCUAGGCGUACAGGACUGGACCUGGGGCGGAGGGGCUAGGGGUACAAGACUGGACCUGGGGCGGAGGGGCUAGGGGUACAAGACUGGAC
This 2910-nucleotide long non-coding RNA is filed under the name Salmo salar (Atlantic salmon). RNAcentral describes it as "lncRNA (ENSSSAG00000118485.1)". The record is from RNAcentral. Lineage: Eukaryota; Metazoa; Chordata; Actinopteri; Salmoniformes; Salmonidae.